CGCGACGCUGGCGGCCUGCCUGCUGAUGCCCGUCUGGCGUCAGAGAAGGAGCUUGCUCCUUUGACGUUCGCGGCGGACGGGUGAGUGCACGUGGGCAACCUACCUUAUAUUUUGGGAUAACUCCGGGAAACCGGGGCUAAUACCGAAUAAUCUGUUUCACCUCAUGGUGAAAUAUUGAAAGACGGUUUCGGCUGUCGCUAUAGGAUGGGCCCGCGGCGCAUUAGCUAGUUGGUGAGGUAACGGCUCACCAAGGCGACGAUGCGUAGCCGACCUGAGAGGGUGAUCGGCCACACUGGGACUGAGACACGGCCCAGACUCCUACGGGAGGCAGCAGUAGGGAAUCUUCCACAAUGGGCGAAAGCCUGAUGGAGCAACGCCGCGUGAGUGAAGAAGGAUUUCGGUUCGUAAAACUCUGUUGUAAGGGAAGAACAAGUACAGUAGUAACUGGCUGUACCUUGACGGUACCUUAUUAGAAAGCCACGGCUAACUACGUGCCAGCAGCCGCGGUAAUACGUAGGUGGCAAGCGUUGUCCGGAAUUAUUGGGCGUAAAGCGCGCGCAGGUGGUUUCUUAAGUCUGAUGUGAAAGCCCACGGCUCAACCGUGGAGGGUCAUUGGAAACUGGGAGACUUGAGUGCAGAAGAGGAUAGUGGAAUUCCAAGUGUAGCGGUGAAAUGCGUAGAGAUUUGGAGGAACACCAGUGGCGAAGCGACUAUCUGGUCUGUAACUGACACUGAGCGCGAAAGCGUGGGGAGCA
This 755-nucleotide ribosomal RNA is filed under the name Lysinibacillus sp. KSD-4. Its description in RNAcentral is "bacterial SSU rRNA". It matches the Rfam family "Bacterial small subunit ribosomal RNA", at positions 30 to 770 of the family's 1533-position model. Lineage: Bacteria; Bacillati; Bacillota; Bacilli; Caryophanales; Bacillaceae. The record is from RNAcentral.